Molecule: RNA transcript, 3592 nt
Organism: Myxocyprinus asiaticus (Chinese sucker)
Lineage: Eukaryota; Metazoa; Chordata; Actinopteri; Cypriniformes; Catostomidae
Gene name: zinc finger protein 277-like
Exons: 4
Source: RefSeq, a predicted model, not a curated record
GUUGUGAAACGUCAAAUAUGGAUGCUCAGAUGCACAACGCUAAUUUGACAGAAUGAACAACAAGAGCACUACUUCCUAUUAUGUGAUACUUUGCCAGAGGACAGGAUCCUUAGGGAACAUCUACAACAGAUGUGUGUCUGUCAUGCAUGUUAGGUCUUUACCGCUUAAUGGCUAAAGAACAUUCCUUCAGUAUUGGCCUGCCUGAUAACAUUGUCUACUGCACAGAGUUCCUCAACACUCUCGAGAGAAAACUGGAGAAGUGAGUGCUCAUAUUUAAGUAACUAAGUUAGUAGUCAAGUUUGUGUAUUACUGCAUACUUUUAACAUACACUACCGGUCAAAAGUUUUGAAACACUCAUUCUUUAUUAUAAUUUUUUUCUUCACAUUUUAGAAUAAUAGUAAAGUCAUCAAUACUAUCAAUGGAAUAACAUAAAUGGAACUAUGGGAAUUAUGUUGUGACUAAACAAAAUCCAAAAUAAAUCAAAACUGUGUUAUAUUUUAGCAUCUUCAAAGUAGUCACCCUUUACUUAGAUUUUGCAGAAAUGUACUCUUGACAUUUUCUAAACCAACUUCUUGAGGUAUCACCCUGGGAUGCUUUUUAAACAGUAUAGAAGGAGUUCCCAUCUAUGUUGGGCACUUAUUGGCUGCUUUUCUUUAUUAUUUGGUCCAAGUCAUCAAUUUCAAAAACCUUUUUUUAAUUUAUUUUUUUAUUAAAUUUUAGUUUUAUAAUGAAAUAAAUGAAUAUGGUGGCACAAUUAUAUUUUUGUCUACAAAACUAAUUUCAAACAUUUAAGCAUACGCCUUCAGAUCAAAAGAUUUUUAAGAUCAUGAGAAACAUUUCAGUCAAGUGUUUCAAAACUUUUGACUGGUAGUGUAUGUUUAUAUUUGUCACUUAUCACAAAUAAAAUUAAAGACGGAGAAGGUAUGAAUGCCCUCUUUUGGUGCUUACUGACAUUGCAAUUAAUCUUAAACCACCAAGCAGGUUUACUGGUAGUUUAUGAGUCAGAGAGGGACAUAAAAGUAAAAAUACAUAAAGAAGAAAAUACAUAAAAAGCAUACUUAUUUUACACUCUGUAGAAUGUUAUAUAUUUUGGAAACUUGUAUUUUCAAAUCUAGUUUUAUUUUUUACAUUUAUAGAUUUUGCACCUAAACAUCCAUAUCGUUUUUUUAUAGUACGCAGUGUCUAUACUGCGAGAAAACAUUCAGAGACAAAACAAUUUUGAAAGAUCACAUGAGAAAGUAGCAGCAUUGACGAAUUAAUGCCAAAAAUCAUGUCAACGACCGCUUCUGCAUCAUCUGUUACCUGGUAUAUCCAUGUGUUGGUUUGUAGUGUUUUUUAAUUUAUUUUUUUACAUCUAAUCAGAGCUAAUAAAUGCUCAGGUAAUUGAGAGAAAUCAAAGUUUAUAGUUUAGUCUUUUGAAUAAUUAAAUUUGUUAAUUUGUUAAGUUUAACGUGCAGUUUGAGCAUGACUUUUAUGUAGCUGCAAUGCUGCAGAAGUUGGGGAACACAUGGGAAGCGGUGCAGUCUGAAGAUGACAGAGAGCUGUAUGAAGAUGUAGAUGAUGAUUGGUCGGACUUGCAGGCUCACACUGUGUGCCUGUUUUGUGAACAGCAAGCAGAGACAAUGGAGAAAAUGUACACACACAUGGAGGUAUCUGACAUAUUCUGAUUUCACUGGCCAAAAAUAUAAAUCAUAAUGUCAGCAAGAAACAGCAACACUAUUUUUGUGUGGGUUUCUGUGGAUUUUCCUUCCUUUACUCAAUUUAAAAAAUAAUGUUAUUUUGUUUCUUCAGGAAACUCAUGAAUUUGACCUGCACAAAUUAAAAACAGAUCUAAGUGAGUAUAAUGGAACAACUGGGAGAAGCUUUGGGCAAUUUUAAAAAAGAAAACAUGCUCACAUGUUAGGCUAUUCAAAGUUAAAUUAGUUUUUUGGCCAGACCUAAAGUUUUACCAUCAAAUCAAACUAGUGAGUUAUAUCUGCCGUGAGCUCCACUAGUGCCGCUGCUACUGCUGUCAGAAGAAGUUUGGAACCAAAGAUGAGUUGGUUCAACAUCUUGUCAACAAAGGUCAUGUGAUGCAGCUACCCGAGGUCUCCACCUGGGACCAACCACAGUAAGCACUACAUCUUUACAUUGUCAGCAGGACAAGUGUUACAGUACAUCAUACAGAUAUAAUGGUCAACAAACCAACAAAGAAAAACUAUUCUGAUGCACACCUGUGACCGCAAAUUCUAUACUAAUGUGCCAAGUUGCUACGUUGCUUGGCAACCACAAACAGCUUAAAGGAACUUUAUUAUUUAGCAGAAGAAUAAUGUAUUCUGAAUGUUUAUCAAAAUUAGGGCUGUGAAUCGAUUGAUUACAUGAUAUGCUGAUGAAUUACUCGCAUUAAUCAUUUGCUGAGAAAGGCCCUCAAAUAACAAUAAUUCAAAAUAUAAUGAUGGAAUAAAUAUAAAUAGAUAUAUUUAAAUAAUUAUGAAUAUGUACUAUAAAUAUAAUAAUACAUAUAAUUAAAAUGCAUUAAAUUAUUGUGGCAGAUGAGCAAAACAUUGAUAAGACAAUACAAAAAGCGGCAUUAUAAGUCAAUAUAUUAUUUAUAUCCACAUUAUUAAACAUUAGCAUAUCAUUGGCCUGCAAUUGAAUUUGUCAAUCUGUUGAAUUUGUCAAAUGCUGUCACUUUUGUUAAGCAAGCCUGAGUUUGGUUUAUUGUAUGUACAGCUGCGUAUUGCCUAGCUGUAGUUUCGCUCCCUGCCUGCUGGAAACAGGUGGCACUUUAAGCUUGAAUUGCUCCGAUGGUUGGAAUAUUCCUUAUUACUAUCCGGGGACAUGAUUAAUUGCGUUAAUACUUUUAACAUGUUAUUUUUAUAUAAUUAUUCACUCUGAAUUAAUGUGUUAAAAUGACAGCCCUAAUAAAAAUGAAUCUGUUUAUUGAACAUUGGUUUCUUAUAUUGUAUUGCUGUUGCCACUGUUUUGGAGGGUUUUUUUUCUCCCCAAUUUGGAAUUCCAAGUGCAGUAUAAGUCCUCAUGGUGGCAUACUGACUUGCCUUAAUCCGGGUGGCGGAGGAUGAAUCCCAGUUGCCCCUGCUUCUGUGACCGUCAAUCUGUGCAUCUUAUCACGUGGCUUGUUGAGUGCGUUAACACGGAGACAUAGCACGUGUGGAGGCUUCAUGCUAAUCUCCACGGCAUCCACGCACAACGCGAGAACCACAUUAUAGCAACCACGAGGAGGUUACCCCAUGUAACUCUACCCUCCCUAGCAACCGGGCCAAUUUGGUUGCUUAGGAGACCUGGCUGGAGUCACUCAGCACGCCCUGGAUUUGAACUCGCGACUCCAGGGGUGGUAUUCAGCGUAUUUACUCGCUGAGCUACCCAGGCCCCCUUGCUGUUGCCACUGUUAAUUAAAAGCAAUAAGCAACUUGAAUCAAUGCAUUACAGUGAUUUUACCACAGGUUAGUGGGGUUUAGGGGCUUCAUGUUGUACUUUAGAACACCUCUUAUCCAUUGUAAAAUCACUGUAAAGGCUGGCCUCUUGUGACUUAUUGCUAUGGUAGAUGCUCUCAUGUUUAUGUGAUUUGUAAUUUAAAAAACGUAACUUGCCC